Molecule: ribosomal RNA, 253 nt
Filed under: uncultured bacterium
Lineage: Bacteria
Description: partial 16S ribosomal RNA
Rfam family: Bacterial small subunit ribosomal RNA
Source: RNAcentral
UACGAGUGCCUCAAGCGUUAUCCGGAAUUAUUGGGCGUAAAGGGUGUGUAGGCGGUUUUGUUAGUCCUCUGUCAAAUUCUUCGGCUUAACCGGGGGUCCGCAGAGGAAACGGCAAAACUUGAGGAUGCGAGAGGUGAAUGGAACUCAUAGUGUAGGGGUGAAAUCCGUUGAUAUUAUGGGGAACACCAAAAGCGAAGGCAAUUCACUGGCGCACUCCUGACGCUGAAACACGAAAGCGUGGGUAGCGAAUGGG